RNAcentral lists this non-coding RNA (156 nucleotides) under Paracoccaceae bacterium. RNAcentral's name for it is "Rhodobacteraceae bacterium (freshwater metagenome) 6S RNA". It matches the Rfam family "6S / SsrS RNA". Rfam says of the family: E. coli 6S RNA was the first non coding RNA to be sequenced, but its function was unknown until recently. It consists of 184 nucleotides that fold into an extended hairpin structure with a large single-stranded internal bulge. The 6S RNA specifically associates with RNA polymerase holoenzyme containing the sigma70 specificity factor. Lineage: Bacteria; Pseudomonadati; Pseudomonadota; Alphaproteobacteria; Rhodobacterales; Paracoccaceae. The record is from RNAcentral.
CGGGUUCUGUUCCUCACGUGACAUGGUAUCAUUCCGGUGGCCUAUAAUUAUUCCGAGGGAGCUGGCUCUGUCUGAGUCCUGGCUUAGUUACCUGGCGCCCACCUGUUCAUGCAGGUCCUCGGGAAUGUGAAACCCCACGGUUGCUACGGGCCCGUC